GAGAAAGAGAUACAGAGGCCAGCGCCCAAGCACAGGAGUGUGUCCUCAUGGAGUCGGGGUUCACCAUCUCCCAGCAGGUGGACGGGCCUGUCAACCUUGAGGUUUUCCAGACCCCAGGGUUUGGGAUUUUUUUAAUGGAAGCCUCAUGAUUCAGAUAUGUUCAAUUAUUAACUCAAUCUCCAGCCCCUCUCCCCGUCCCAGAGAAUGGGGGCAGGGAGGAUUUGAAAAGUCCAAACUUCUGAUUGUGGCUUAGUCCUUCUGGUGACCAGUCCCCACCUAGGAGUCCACCAAGAGUCGCUUCAUUUGAACAAAGAAUAUGUUCCUAUCACCUAGGAAACGCUAAGAGACUUUGGAACCCUGUGUCAUUUGAACAAAAAAAGAUACUCCUAUGGCUUGGAAAUCGUAAAGGUCAUAGAGCUCUGUGCCAGGAACUGAGAGCAGAGAUCAAAUAUAGCUUCACUAUUAUAUCCGUGCUGUGGCUUGAAUAUGUCGUCUCCAGAUUCAGAUGUUGCCAGUGUGAUAAUAUGAAAAGGUAGAAUGUCCAAGAGGAGAUGAGGCCAUGAGGGCUGCUUCUGUGUGAAUGGGAUUAGGUGCCCUUAGAAAGGGCCUUGACAGACAGUGUGCAUCUCUCUUCACCUUCUGCCUUCUGCUAUGGAAGACAUAGCAUUUUUUCCCUCCAGAGGACACACCACAAGGCGCCAUCUUGUCAGCAGAGACCUGACUCCUCAGACAAGCAAAUGUCCCAGUACCUUGAUCUAGAGAAUUCCCAGCCUCUAGAACUAGCUGGGGCCGUCUGGAAAACUGAGACAGUGAGAAGACCUCCCCCACUUCAAACCCCAAUUCUUAUGAUCAAGUCAACGAUUUCAGACAUGGUGCUCAGAGGAAUAGGAGCCUGCAUUUCUCCUGCAGAUAACAGAUAGUUUGCUGUGGAAUGUGACGUAACCUGUCCACUGAAGCCAGGGCUUGUUGCAGGAAAAUUGCUUCUUAGAGAAGAAAACAUGUGCAGG
This is a non-coding RNA of Ictidomys tridecemlineatus (thirteen-lined ground squirrel), 1007 nucleotides long. Lineage: Eukaryota; Metazoa; Chordata; Mammalia; Rodentia; Sciuridae. The record is from RefSeq and is a predicted model, not a curated record.